CUAUUAAUUUGUAUUGUAGUCCUGUAAUAUUAUGUUGUCAUUUCAAUGUUAUAUUUAACUUUGCCAUUAAAGUGCGAGGUUUGGCAUGCCACAAAACCAGGUUCAACCCACCACUUUUAUUCCCCUUUAAAAGUGUCCUGUACCAAGUCAGGAAGAUGGCCAUUGUUAUAUUAUUGUUCGUUUUUGUGUGUGUUACAUUUUAACGUUGAGUCGUUUGUGUUUUCUAUUAUUUUUGAUAAAUUGAGAUAAGACGUGGCACGGUACUUGUCUAUCCCAAAUUCAUGUAUUUGGUUUUCAUGUUAUAUUUGUUAUUCUCGUGGUGUUUUGUCUGAUGCUUGGUUCGUUUCUGUGUGUGUUACGUUUCGGUGUUAUGUCGUUGUUCUCCUCUUAUAUUUAAUGCGUUUCCCUCGGUUUUAGUUUGUUACCCCGAUUUUGUUUUUUGUCCAUGGACUUAUGAGUUUUGAACAGCGGUAUACUACUGUUGCCUUUAUUU
Molecule: long non-coding RNA, 493 nt
Filed under: Mytilus galloprovincialis (Mediterranean mussel)
Lineage: Eukaryota; Metazoa; Mollusca; Bivalvia; Mytilida; Mytilidae
Source: RNAcentral